UUUGGACGAGCUGCCCAGAGCCAAUGCAGCGCUCCUGCGCUAUCUUUUUGGAGUGCUGCACAACAUUCAGCAGCAUUCGUCCGUCAAUCAGAUGACAGCUUACAACUUAGCCACCUGCAUAGCCCCAAGCAUUCUUUGUUUGCCCAAUGCCUGCAGGCAGAAUUAGAAAGUGACAUCACAAGAAAGAUUUCUCUUGUGCAAUUUUUGAUUGAGAAUUGCCUCCAGAUCUUUGGAGAAGACAUUGCUUCCCUCCUGGGGGAGAGCUCCAUGCAUUGUGAUGGCAGCGAGAAGCCUGAAGAUCCUUCAACUGACUUCGGAGAAGACAUUGCUUCCCUCCUGGGGGAGAGCUCCAUGCAUUGUGAUGGCAGCGAGAAGGCUGCAGAUCCUUCGACUGACUUCGGAGAAGACAUUGCUUCCCUCCUGGGGGAGAGCUCCAUGCAUUGUGAUGGCAGCGAGAAGCCUGCAGAUCCUUCGACUGACUUCGGAGUGUCAACCAAGCAACCUUUCGAAUCCAAGCCCAGUGAGAGUGAUAGUGACUUACAAAAAGGCACAACUGCAGAAUGACGCCGAGGCCCCACGUGGCGUGGGUCCACCCAGCUCCCUGUCUGCAAUGCUUUCAGUCACUGAAGAUUAGAGUCUCCAUAAUCAUACUCGACCCUUUCCUUUCCUUUCCUUCCUGUAAUAUCCCACCAAGAACGCUUUCUCCAAAAUUCUACUACCUCCGUUAUGUUCUCAUCACGUAGACACCAGUCAGCUAAUGCCCCCGAAAUCAUUUUCAGCCCCUUGUAACAAAAAAGUGUGUGGGGGUGGUGAAUUUCUAGAAAAAUACAGGGUCAGAAAAGGAAAGUUUUCGUAGCUCCUGGGAAUCACCUCAGGACUCAAGAACAGUAAUUCCUGAGCUUGAAGAUUCCAGUCCUCAGUCACCACAGGGUCAGUAGAUUAGAUGGAAGGAUCCUCUCAGACAUCUCAGGAAAUAAGCUCCCAACGUGUCAGAGACCAAUUUUCAAAAAGUUAAACACAUGAAUCUCACACAAUAGAGUCUAAACUUGAGUCCAAAUGUUAUUCAACUCAUCUUACUGAGGAGACCAGUAAGGUGGUAAAGAAUGUUUUUGAGUAUAGUACUUUUAUGGCACCAAGCUGGGGCCAAAGAAGCAAAUUUUCUUUGUUGGACAUAAACAGUUAAUGUUUUAAAGGGUAAUCAAUCUAUAAGCUUUGAAUUUAUCUUCUCCUGUGACAAAAAUCUACAAAUUAACAUUAUUCUAUUUUUAUGAAAUACAGUGAAGGACAUCCAGAUUUGGACUCCUCCAUCUUACACUUCCCAUGCAAGCUUUCCUGGAGGGGAAUCUGUCCUCCCUCUGUCAACUCUCUCACCCACCCUUCACUUCUCACCCUGCUGACAUGUGGCCUCUCCCUGUCUUCCUUUCCAGCAGCCUCAGUAGAUCACAUUCAACCGAUCACCAAGCCCCUUCACCUGACAAACCAAAGCACAUCUUCUGGGAUUCCUAAGGCACUUGCCCUGCCAGGGUCUCGUAAUUCCUGAAUUCUAAUCUCGUUUCACUGGUAGUUCACUUCUCCCAGGUCAUGUGAUUUAUCUCCAUCUUCCUCUGUUUAUAUGGUUUCAUGGACUUUUCUACAUCUUCGCCUAAACCCGAGGACUCUUCACGUCAUUCCCAGGUGCCCUCAGCUCUAGUGUUGCCUCUGAUUCCCUGCUCUCCUAUCAUCCCACCAACGCUCAUCCCAUCACAGACCCAUGAGUGCAGCAGUGUCUUCUCUGGCCUCCCUGUCUCCAGUGGUGAAGUUGGGGAAGGAUGGCCCCAUGUAUGCCUCCCACCCUAAUGUUCCUACUUCAGGGUAAGCUCCCUGAGCAGGGAUGAGGCUGUCUAGCACAGCCUGGCAUUCCACUGCCAACCACCAGACUCAACACCAGAUUGGAAAACAGCUCCAGAGGAAGGAUAUCGUUUGUUUGAGGUCACCCGGUUUGCGAAGAUGAAGUCAGAAUUUAGAGCCCAUGUUGUUCACCGAUGAGUUACGUCACUAACCACGUUCCAAAGUGAUGCUAGAUGGAAAGAAUGCUGGUGCUUCAGAGUCCUGGGGCAACCUUGAGAAGCUGCAGAGGAGUGGAUGACCACGAGCUGGGGCUUGUUUUAGAUGCUCCUUCUCUUCAAAUUUCGUGCUCAUCAAAGUACAUAUUUUUCUGCACUGUAUCAAAGAAUCCUUUGUUUAAUAGAAGACACAGAAUAAUUCAGUAUGGACCUUUGUCUGAGAGGCAUCAGAAGAGAUCACAUCCAUGUGCUUAGAGAACGUCACGUGUGCUCUGCGUCCUCCACGUAGGCAGGGCGGGAUGGCUGAAGUGGGCUGGAGUCCCCACAGGUAGGUGUGUCCCUG
RNAcentral lists this long non-coding RNA (2385 nucleotides) under Equus asinus (donkey). RNAcentral describes it as "lncRNA (ENSEASG00005030944.1)". The record is from RNAcentral. Lineage: Eukaryota; Metazoa; Chordata; Mammalia; Perissodactyla; Equidae.